Molecule: ribosomal RNA, 254 nt
Filed under: uncultured bacterium
Lineage: Bacteria
Also listed under: 1 other name
Description: partial 16S ribosomal RNA
Rfam family: Bacterial small subunit ribosomal RNA
Source: RNAcentral
UACGAAGGGGGCUAGCGUUGUUCGGAAUUACUGGGCGUAAAGCGCGCGCAGGCGGCCUUACAAGUCAGAGGUGAAAGCCCGGAGCUUAACUCCGGAAUUGCCCCUGAGACUGUUCGGCUUCGAGUACGGGAGAGGUGAGUGGAAUUCCGAGUGUAGAGGUGAAAUUCGUAGAUAUUCGGAAGAACACCGGUGGCGAAGGCGGCUCACUGGCCCGUUACUGACGCUCAGGCGCGACAGCGUGGGGAUCAAACAGG